RNAcentral lists this unclassified non-coding RNA (240 nucleotides) under soil metagenome. Its description in RNAcentral is "partial contains 5.8S ribosomal RNA, internal transcribed spacer 2, and large subunit ribosomal RNA". The record is from RNAcentral.
AAGACUAUAGACCUGCGGAGUACCUGCGGAAGGAUCAUUAUUGAGCUGAAACUCCUUUGGCUGGAUUGCUGUUGUUGCUGGCGCCACCCUUUGGAGGGCAAUGUGGCAUGCAUUAUGGAGACUCGAUACCACAACUGCAAAGCAGCUGGCUGGGCUUGGCUGGGCUUCAUAAUGAGGAAAAUUAUGGUAGCGGCGAGGUUCGAACUCGCGCGGACUUUCGCCCAUUGGGAUUCAAGAAUU